GGCACGUUGGUGUGUUUGGGCAGCAGCGUCUGCAGGACAGGGAAUCCUGGGAAAUGACAGGCGUCGCGGUUGAUCUCGCGCACGGUGGACCUCCCGCCUGCACUGCGCCCCACGUUAAAGCCUGAAGUGGACAAGAGUUGGAUUACAAGAGGAAAGGAGGAGUACCAAUACAUGCCAAUUAAACAGAGAGAGAGAGAGAGACAGAGCUGAAGAGCAGUUUGAGCAGGAUAUCCAGCAGGCGGUUACGGAGCAGGAUCACGUUGGAGGAGAGCAGCCCUCCGAAGUCUUCCUCAUUUCCUAAACAGAAAUAACCUCCAUGACUACGAACUUCUCGCAGACCGCAAACGUGGGCAAGGUGGAGGAAAUGAACUGGCCGAAUCUGAGAAAAACACACACACAAAGCACAGAACAGGUCGUAGGAGCUGGGGAAGCCCUGCAGGAGCAGGCUGAGCACGUUGCUGAUGGC
Molecule: long non-coding RNA, 466 nt
Organism: Trichomycterus rosablanca
Lineage: Eukaryota; Metazoa; Chordata; Actinopteri; Siluriformes; Trichomycteridae
Exons: 4
Source: RefSeq, a predicted model, not a curated record